UUUUCUCGCCGCUUGUGUGGCUCGCUGGCUGCGUGGCUCGGUUCUUGUGAGCGAAGCUUUGUCCGGUUCGGCAAUGGACGGAAUCGUCACUGAGGUUGCAGUUGGCGUGAAGAGAGGAUCUGACGAACUACUCUCAGGCAGUGUUCUCAGUAGUCCAAACUCUAAUAUGAGCAGCAUGGUAGUUACAGCCAAUGGUAACGAUAGUAAAAAAUUUAAAGGAGAAGAUAAAAUGGAUGGUGCUCCUUCUCGUGUACUUCAUAUUCGAAAAUUACCUGGGGAAGUAACAGAAACUGAAGUUAUUGCUUUAGGCUUACCUUUUGGUAAGGUGACCAACAUCCUUAUGCUGAAAGGAAAAAAUCAGGCAUUUUUGGAACUAGCAACCGAGGAAGCAGCUAUUACUAUGGUUAAUUACUAUUCUGCUGUGACACCUCAUCUUCGUAACCAACCAAUAUAUAUCCAGUACUCGAAUCACAAAGAACUAAAGACAGAUAAUACAUUAAACCAAGUAAGUGUGUGUAGGUACAUAAAUAAAAUGGCCUAGAACAUAUUAUGAAUCUCAUAAACAUUAAUAGGAAGGAAAUGUUUACCUGUUCAAAUGUUCCUUAUAGGCAUUUUCUUGUUAUUUUUAAGGUAUUUUCAUGCAGAAUGUUUCUAAGUAUUAAAUACUAUGUCAUUUUGAAUUCCUUUAAACCCCUGGUCAAAUGUUCUUUUUCUUGUUGCAAGUUAAAAUUUUUGUGUAGAAACUUAUCAGGUAGGAUUUAUUAUUAGCAUAAACUAUUUAUACAACUCUCCUGCUUAGAAUUUAAGGUAUGAAGUUCAGUGCCUUUGGUUAUUUGACUUUUUUUAUAGGUCUUAAUUUCUUAUGGAAAAUUUUUUUUUGAAGAUGUGUUCAUGGUUUUCCUGGAAAAGAAAUCUUAAGGAUGAAGAAUAUAUGAAUGUAUUGAUGUUUUAAAAAUGUAAUAUAGAAGAUAUUGUUUAAAAUUAAUGUAUUUAAAAAUAGCAUUAGAAUGUUUUCUGACCUACAUUAUAAGACUGCUGUAAUGAUCUAAAACUUUAGCUGUUUUAAUAUAGUUUUAAAACUAAUGGUAUCUUUCUCUGUCAGUAAAAUACAAACUUUUUCUUAAUAAAA
This 1129-nucleotide small RNA is filed under the name Pongo abelii (Sumatran orangutan). RNAcentral describes it as "processed transcript". Lineage: Eukaryota; Metazoa; Chordata; Mammalia; Primates; Hominidae. The record is from RNAcentral.